Molecule: RNA transcript, 622 nt
Organism: Drosophila hydei
Lineage: Eukaryota; Metazoa; Arthropoda; Insecta; Diptera; Drosophilidae
Exons: 3
Source: RefSeq, a predicted model, not a curated record
GAAAUUGAAUGCCAGUUUUAUUGUUGUUAUUAUCUCAGAAGCGUUUUGUUAAUUUCAUCAACUUAUGCAUAUAAUAACGCGAGUGUUGCAAUUAUUACGAAAGCAUAUGUACAUAAUCAACUAAACUAUUGCAACAAAAAUGUAGCCAUUUGUUAGGCCAGUGUAUGCGAAUCUGCAAAGCGUAUGGCAUAAAUUUAGCAAUACGACGAAGACACCACCCACAAAACCGACAAAUUGAACAUUUGCGUUUUGUUUCUUCACUGAAUCAAUUCCUAUUAGCACAGUUGGCGUGUCGUUACACACAAAUUGCGUAAAUUGCGCACUGAUUGUGCGUUAUUCUUGGAGCAGCAAUUAACUAAACAUUACGUGCAGUGAGUAACAGAGCAAAGGGCAGAGCGAGGUCGUGCGGCGAGAAUAACGACAGCUGCACCAUAAAAAACGUUAACAACGACGUUCACGGUUAAGGCCCCAAACUAGCUUGUAUGGGGUGCACCACCCACUUAUAGCCGCUUGCAUUAGUCACAAAACCGUGAAACGAAAAUGUGGACUAGUAAGACGGCAGCCAACAGUUCACUUGGGGCAGCGAUGUGGCUACGAAUUGCACAACAAACUGAACUGAAAC